GUUGAUUUACAAUGUUCUGUCAGUUUCUGCUAUACCGCAAAGUAACCCAGUUAUACAUGUCUAUACAUUCUUUUGAUUUUUAAAGGUCCUUUUUCUUUUUUUUAAAUUUUAUUGAAGUAGAUUUGACUGACAAUGGUGUGGUAAUUUCUGCUGUACAGCCAAGCGACGCAGUCAUACAUAUAUAUUUUUUCAUAUAUUUUUAAAAUUAUCAUAGAUUUACAAUGUCAUACCUAUUUCUGCUUACAGCAUACUGACCCCGUCAUUCACACACACACACUCUUUGUCUCAUACUAUCUUCCAUCAUAUAUAUUCUUUUCCAUUCUGCUUUAUUACAGGAUAUCAGGCAUAGUACCCUGUGCUACCCAGUAGGGCCCUUUGUUGUUUAUCCAUUCUAUAUAUUCUAGUUUGCAUCUGCUAAUCCCAGACUCCCAAUCCUCCCCCCACCACCCCAGCAACUACAAGUCUGUUCUCUAUGUCUAUGUGAAGGCGCUUUUUCUACGUGAGAAAUUUCAAUGAAAUAUCUUGAAACACCACGUCUCAUCAUCUUGAUAUUUGCAGUUAAAAGAGCCUUUAGCAAGCAGAUCUGAGCCUCUCGUUUUCAAAAAGAAAAGAUGAAACCUAGCCAUGUGGGGUCUGGCUCAAGCUCACAGUUGGCUGUGAGCCAGCUGCAUCUGGGAGGCCCCGAGCUCCUGGGCCAAUUACACCCCGACUCUGGUAAGGACACAGGGAAAAACACCCUAGAAACUUCAGGAGAUCAUUUCGAACUUUACAUGGUAGUUUUCCAUUGCUACCUUACAGCCAGAAAAAGGUAUUCUGAAGAAACAAGAACAAGUGCAAAGUCAAUCCUUUCCCACUUGGGUAAUUUAAAGUUGCGUGAAUUCCCCAUGGCUGUGUAGCUGGUAGGAGAAGGCGCACAUUUCUGGCAUCGUUUCCCAGUGAUCGCCAGCAUACCUGAUGAGUAAUGACUGAUGGCUUCAGACACUAAUGAGUCCAGAGUCUGUUCCUAGGAAAAUGCUUUGCAUGCAUCAUUAAGGCUAUUUUAGGACUGGCUGUCUUGAACCUAAUGUAAACUAGCACUGGUGAUUCUGAAUUUAAAUCAAUAUUUAAAAAAAAAAAAAAAAAAAAAGAACUGGUAGUAAGUCUAUAGACUUUUAUAAGAUAUUACAUCUCUAAGUUCUUUGAAUAACAACUCCAAUACUGCCCGUAUAUUGAUGAACAUAUUAACUUACAUCUAACUGGAAUACUGCUAUCCAAAGCCUACAUUUCUUUCCACUACAGAUGCCUCGUGCCAUAAUACAGCAAAUAGAAUUACCUGAGCUGCUUUUGAAAAACGAAAGGUGCUGAACCCCACCUGAAAAGUAUUGCACUGAAUUGCCAGCAGGUGGAGCCAAACCAUGGGCAUUUUUCAUCCAGGACCUUUAAAAGCACCGUGGUUGAUGCUCUCACCCGUCUUCCAAGAGGAAACACUGAUGACCAUGCAAAUUUUGCCUUAUGUCCUUAACAUCUCCCCAUGCUCAGGAAUAUGCAUCUCCAUUCAAAGAGACAAUGUUUUCUACGGUAGUGAGGCUCAAACUUGGUUUUGCAUCAGAUUCAGGUACAUGGGGUGGGGCUUGGUUAAAAAUAUGAGUAGCAAGUCUGACCCAAGUCUAAAAAAACUGCAUUUUUAACCAAGCUAUCCACCAUACUCAGAAGCACACAGACUUGAGAGACUAAAACUUUCUGGAAGAUUUCCUAAAAGGCCACCUGGUUUCUGAAAUUGAACUGAAAAAUAAUAAACCCAGAAGGUUACUAGGGAGAUGUAACUGUGUCAGACACAAUUUUUAAACCAGACCUAAUUGAAACCAAAGUCACUAAUGCUUUUCUGUCAAUUCCCCACACCUUUGCUCUUUGAGUAAACAUGAGGUUAAGGAGGUGGCUUAUAUCAUAGAACUGAGGGUGGCAGGUUGAGAGCAAGGAUGAGGUGUCAGAGAAACUGAGAUUCCUCACUCAAAAAUGUUUCAGCCAGUCAAUCAUGGGGUUUAAGAAGGCAGAAAAGUCCACAUCACUCAUGAUUAGAGAAAUUCAAGUCAAAACUACCAUGAGGUACCACCUCACAAUGGUCACAGCAGCCAUCACCAAAAAGUCAACAAACAACAAAUGCUAGAGAAGGUGUGGAAAAAAGGGAACCCUCCUACACGGUCAGUGGGAAUGUAAAUUGGUGCAGCCACUAUGGAGAACAGUACGGAGGUUCCUCAAAAAAUGAAAAAUAAAACUACCCUAUGAUCCAGCAAUCCUACUCCUGGGCAUCUAUCUAGAGAAAACCUUAAUUCAAAAAGAUACAUGCACUCCAGUGUUCACUGCAGCACUAUUUUCAGGACCCAAGACAUGGAAACAGCCUAAAUGUCCGUUGACAGAGGAAUGGAUCAAGACAAUGUGGUACAUAUAUUCCAUGGAGUAUUACCUGGGCACAAAGAAGAAUGAAAUAAUGCCAUCUGCAGCCACAUGGAUGCAACUAGAAAUUACCACACUAAGUGAAAUAAAUCAGACAAAUACCAUAUGAUAAUCACUUAUAGGUGGAAUCUAAAAUAUGACACAGAUGAACUUAUCUACUCACAGACAGAACAGACUUGUGGUUGUCAAGGGGGAGGGGACGGGAGGGAAGGAUUGGGAGUUUGGGAUUAGCAGAGGCAAACUGGUAUAUAUAAGAUGGGUAAACAACAAGGACCCACUUUAUAGCACAGGGAAUAUUCAAUAUUCUGUAACAAACAUAUUGGAAAAGAAUAUGAAAGAAAUAUAACCAAGUCACUUUGCUACAUUGCGGAAACUAACUCAACAUUGUAAAUCAACUAUGUGCCAACAAAUUUUUUAAAAAAAUAGAGCGCAUCUCUAGCAGAUAUCUUUGUUUUGUUCCUGAUCUUCAGAGGAAAGUACCCAGUCUUUCACCGCUAAGUAUGAUGUUAGCUGGAGUUUUUUUUGGUAGAUGUUCUUUUAUCAAGUUGAGGAAGAGCCCCUCUUUUCCUAGCUUUAUAAGCCUUUUAAUCAUGAAUAGGUGUUGGAUUUUGUCAAAUGCUCUAUUUACAUCUAUUGACAUGAUCGUAUGACUUUUCUUCUUUGCUUGUUGAUGUGAUGGAUUACAUGAACUGAUUUUCAAAUGUUGCAAAAGCCUUGUAUACCUGGAAAUAAAUACCAGUUUGUUAUGGUGUAUAAUUAUUGCAAAACAAUUUUGAAUUUGAUUUGGUAAUAUUUUAUUGAUGGUUUUUCAUCUACAUUCAUAAAUGAUACUGGUCUAUUGUUUUCUUAAAAAAAAAAAAAA
This 3292-nucleotide long non-coding RNA is filed under the name Sus scrofa (pig). Its description in RNAcentral is "lncRNA (ENSSSCG00055017756.1)". Lineage: Eukaryota; Metazoa; Chordata; Mammalia; Artiodactyla; Suidae. The record is from RNAcentral.